This is a long non-coding RNA of Apis dorsata (giant honeybee), 208 nucleotides long. RefSeq lists it as uncharacterized. NCBI's taxonomy places the organism in Eukaryota, Metazoa, Arthropoda, Insecta, Hymenoptera, Apidae. The record is from RefSeq and is a predicted model, not a curated record. The transcript has 3 exons.
AAAUUCAUUAAAUAAUAAUUUUAUUUAAAUUAUUUAUAAAUUAAGGUCCUUUCGUACAAUUAAUUUAAUUUUUAUUAUAGAUAGAAUCCAAUCUGACUUACGUCGAUUUGAACUCAAAUCAUGUAAGAUUUUAAGAGUCGAACAGACUCAAAAAUUUAAACUUAUCUAACUAUCAUUAUAUAUUAAUUUCUUACUUAAUAUAUCGGAU